GACGAACGCUGGCGGCGUGCUUAACACAUGCAAGUCGAGCGGUAAGGCCCUUUCGGGGGUACACGAGCGGCGAACGGGUGAGUAACACGUGGGUGACCUGCCCUCAGCUCUGGGAUAAGCCUGGGAAACUGGGUCUAAUACUGGAUAUGACUCCACGGUGCAUGUCGUGGGGUGGAAAGCCUUGUGCGGCUGAGGAUGGGCCCGCGGCCUAUCAGCUUGUUGGUGGGGUGAUGGCCUACCAAGGCGACGACGGGUAGCCGGCCUGAGAGGGCGACCGGCCACACUGGGACUGAGACACGGCCCAGACUCCUACGGGAGGCAGCAGUGGGGAAUCUUGCGCAAUGGGCGAAAGCCUGACGCAGCGACGCCGCGUGAGGGAUGACGGCCUCGGUUGU
Molecule: ribosomal RNA, 395 nt
Filed under: uncultured bacterium
Lineage: Bacteria
Description: bacterial SSU rRNA
Rfam family: Bacterial small subunit ribosomal RNA
Source: RNAcentral